This is a long non-coding RNA of Leopardus geoffroyi (Geoffroy's cat), 1164 nucleotides long. RefSeq lists it as uncharacterized. The record is from RefSeq and is a predicted model, not a curated record. NCBI's taxonomy places the organism in Eukaryota, Metazoa, Chordata, Mammalia, Carnivora, Felidae. The transcript has 4 exons.
CCCUCCCCCUCAGUGUGUGCCUGUCCUCCCACAGCCUGCUGGGGCUCAGAGACUGAUGGCGUCCCGACUCUCAGCUUCGACUGAGGCCGAGCAGACGUCCCAGUUCCAGGUUUCCGGGCCACACUCCUCCAACCACGGCCAUACCUUUCACACGAGAAACACAGAGAGGCUGGGAAUUCAGUGGACUUUGGGAUUCUGUAACCCGCACUGAUAAACUUGUGUUUAAUUUUCACCACGAGGAACCCUUGCAGUCUUCAGAGCCGUCCUUACCGCCGUGACAGUACAGCAGCCACGCCGGCUCCUCAGGGCUUCCCGCGGGUGGCCCUUCAUCCCGGUUCACUGCGGGUGACAGCCUGAUGAAGGAAGAGGUCCCCGCAGACCACGGGUGCUACGUACGCGCCCAGUUCCCAUUGGCAGGGAGCCCGAGCCCUGCCCUGGGGCCCAAGGGCGCGACCACACCCAUCCCCACAUCCCCACUUGGCGGGCCCCUCUUCUGAGACCACUCCCAGGUCCGACUCUGUAGCAGUCGGGCAGGAGGAGGAGACGAGAAAUAGACACGGUUUCUCAGCAGAUGAAAUCGAAUACGAGCAUUUGGUGGCUCAGGGCCCGGAGGGCUGAAGAAACAGAUCGUAUGGCAGAAAGCUGCCGUCCCUAAGGCGGGGGGAAGCGGGGAAGAGGUCGGGCUGAGCAGACACCUAGACGCCAGGAUGAGGGGCCUGGAAGAGGCAGAGCCUGGAUCGCUGAGGAGGGGCUGCCACAAUUUCUCAGGGAAGGCGGAAGCAUCCUUAUCCACCACGAGGGGAUAUGGGGCAGGAGAUGAUUUCUGAGGACCAUCUUCCAGGAACCUCUGUGUGCCCAACGCGGGGCUGGAACUCGCAACCCCGAGACACAGAGUUGCGUGCUCUAGCCAUUGAAGACUUGGGGAGGUGGAGUAGCUGUCUAUCACAAUAACGCAAACAACGCGUAGAUAUCCACGAGCGCCGCUCUCUGAUCUCCUGAGAAAUCAAAGGUAAUGCCAGUCUGGGUUUUGAAGUCCCCCCGCCCCGCCCCACCCCAGUUAAGCACAAGAGGGGAAGGCGGCUCUCUUUCUCACCCUGCCCCCUUUGCCGUGUGCUGGCCCGAGGAGGCUUCCGUGGGGGAUGGCCACCUGGGCUCACCUCUCAA